RNAcentral lists this ribosomal RNA (468 nucleotides) under uncultured bacterium. RNAcentral's name for it is "partial 16S ribosomal RNA". It matches the Rfam family "Bacterial small subunit ribosomal RNA", at positions 28 to 507 of the family's 1533-position model. The record is from RNAcentral.
GACGAACGCUGGCGGGGUGCUUAACACAUGCAAGUCGAACGGAAAGGGCCUGUUUUUGUGGGGGGCUAGAGUGGCGUACGGGUGAGUAGCACGUGUGUGACCUGCCCUUUGAUUUGGGAUAACUUCAGGAAACUGGGGCUAAUAGCGGAUGGGAGUUCAUGCGGCAUGUUGGGGGUUGGAAAGUUUCGGCUGUUGGGGAUGGACUGGCGGGUUAUGAGCUUGUUGGGGGGGUAGUGGCGUACCACGGCUUUGACGGUUAGCCGGCCGGAGAGGGUGACCGGCCACAUUGGGACUGAGCUACGGCCCAGACUCCUACGGGCGGCAGCAGUGGGGAAUAUUGCACAAUGGGCGGAAGCCUGAUGCAGCAACGCCGCGUGCGGGAUGACGGCCUUCGGGUUGUAAACCGCUUUCGCCUGUGACGAAGCGUCAGAGACGGUAAUGGGUAAAGAAGCACCGGCUAACUACGUC